Molecule: ribosomal RNA, 412 nt
Filed under: uncultured bacterium
Lineage: Bacteria
Description: bacterial SSU rRNA
Rfam family: Bacterial small subunit ribosomal RNA
Source: RNAcentral
UAGGGAAUCUUGCGCAAUGGGCGAAAGCCUGACGCAGCGACGCCGCGUGAGGGAUGAAGGCCUUCGGGUUGUAAACCUCUUUCAGCGGGGACGAAGCCCUUUGGGUGACGGUACCCGCAGAAGAAGCCCCGGCCAACUACGUGCCAGCAGCCGCGGUAAUACGUAGGGGGCGAGCGUUGUCCGGAUUUAUUGGGCGUAAAGAGCGCGUAGGCGGCCGUUCACGUCGGAUGUGAAAGCUCAAAGCUCAACUUUGAGAGGCCAUUCGAUACGGAACGGCUAGAGGCAGCUAGGGGAGAGUGGAAUUCCUGGUGUAGCGGUGAAAUGCGCGGAUAUCAGGAGGAACACCGGUGGCGAAGGCGGCUCUCUGGGGCUGUUCUGACGCUGAGGCGCGAAAGCUGGGGGAGCAAACAGG